RNAcentral lists this ribosomal RNA (292 nucleotides) under uncultured Fonticella sp. Its description in RNAcentral is "partial 16S ribosomal RNA". It matches the Rfam family "Bacterial small subunit ribosomal RNA", at positions 505 to 796 of the family's 1533-position model. The record is from RNAcentral. Lineage: Bacteria; Bacillati; Bacillota; Clostridia; Eubacteriales; Clostridiaceae.
GUGUCAGCCGCCGUGGUAAUACGUAGGUGGCAAGCGUUGUCCGGAAUUAUUGGGCGUAAAGGGUGCGUAGGCGGUUUUUUAAGUGGGAUGUGAAAUACCUAGGCUUAACUUAGGAAUGGCAUUCCAAACUGGAAGACUAGAGUGCAGGAGAGGAAAGUGGAAUUCCCAGUGUAGCGGUGAAAUGCGUAGAGAUUGGGAGGAACACCAGUGGCGAAGGCGACUUUCUGGACUGUAACUGACGCUGAGGAGCGAAAGCGUGGGGAGCGAACAGGCUUAGAAACCCGAGUAGUCC